This 468-nucleotide ribosomal RNA is filed under the name uncultured bacterium. Its description in RNAcentral is "partial 16S ribosomal RNA". It matches the Rfam family "Bacterial small subunit ribosomal RNA", at positions 28 to 507 of the family's 1533-position model. The record is from RNAcentral.
GACGAACGCUGGCGGCGUGCUUAAUACAUGCAAGUCGAACGGACAGACCCUGCGUUUGUGUGGUUCUCGUUUGGCGAACGGGUGAGUAACACGUGAGUAACCUGCACCUGACUGUGUGAUAACUUCAGGGAACUGGGGCUAAUACCGGAGAGGAUCUCCUGCUGCAUGGGGGGCGUUGGAAAGAUUCGGCGGUUGGGGAUGGUCUCGCGGCUUAUCAGCUAGUUGGUGGGGUAGUUGCGUACGAAGGCUUUGACGGGUAGGCGGCCUGAGAGGGUGACCGGCCACAUUGGGCCUGAGAUAGGGAGCAGACUCCUACGGGAGGCAGCAGUGGAGAAUAUUGCACAGUGGGCGCAAGCCUGAUGCAGAAACGCCGCGUGCGGGAUGCCGGCCUUCUGGUUGUAAACCGAUUUCGCCUGUGACGAAGAGUGAGUGACGGUAAUGGGUAAAAAAGCACCGGCUAACUACGUG